UCGGGAAUAUUGCGCAAUGGAGGAAACUCUGACGCAGUGACGCCGCGUAUAGGAAGAAGGUUUUCGGAUUGUAAACUAUUGUCGUUAGGGAAGAUAAAAGACUGUACCUAAGGAGGAAGCCCCGGCUAACUAUGUGCCAGCAGCCGCGGUAAUACAUAGGGGGCAAGCGUUAUCCGGAAUUAUUGGGUGUAAAGGGUGCGUAGACGGAAGAACAAGUUGGUUGUGAAAUCCCUCGGCUCAACUGAGGAACUGCAACCAAAACUAUCCUCCUUGAGUGUCGGAGAGGAAAGUGGAAUUCCUAGUGUAGCGGUGAAAUGCGUAGAUAUUAGGAGGAACACCAGUGGCGAAGGCGACUUUCUGGACGAUAACUGACGUUGAGGCACGAAAGUGUGGGGAGCAAACAGGAUUAGAUACC
RNAcentral lists this ribosomal RNA (415 nucleotides) under uncultured bacterium. RNAcentral's name for it is "bacterial SSU rRNA". It matches the Rfam family "Bacterial small subunit ribosomal RNA", at positions 355 to 786 of the family's 1533-position model. The record is from RNAcentral.